Molecule: long non-coding RNA, 713 nt
Filed under: Glycine max (soybean)
Lineage: Eukaryota; Viridiplantae; Streptophyta; Magnoliopsida; Fabales; Fabaceae
Description: long non-coding RNA (GMAX_LNC003975)
Source: RNAcentral
AGGUAAGAUAAGAUGGAAAUUCGUAUUAUUGCCUCCUUGCUUAUUUACAUAUAGCUUUAUAUAGAAAUUCCUAAGAUAGAAUUGGUAUAAAAUCUGUUAUAGGAAUAUUCUAGUAACAAAAUUUGUUUUGCAUGUUUGAGCUCUGAGAAUUCAUAUACGACAAGCAGGAUUGGGCUCCUAAUUCCUAAAUUCUUCUUCCCGCAAUGCCCUCAAGUCGUGUAGUCCUCCAGGUAAGUUGGCUUUUUCACCCUUCUCUUAUUCUUGGUCUCUCCUUCCUCCUGCACCCUUGCCAUUGGUGCUUCCUGCGUAUUCCUAUCAUUGCAUACCUUAGGUGUUGUGACAUAAUCAUGGGUUUCUUACCUUAGGUGCUGUGAUGAUGAUCAGAUGAGCUGUGAUUUAGGUAGAUUCAUGCCGCACACGAUUCAAGUUGUGUCAAAGUGUAAGCACACAUAGAUUAACUCGACCACGAUUUCUCAUGAAUGCAGUGCCACCUUUUAUUUGCCUUGCAACUGUGAAACUUCCCUUUGUUCAGAUUAUCUCGGUUUCAAACUGAGUAUGUUAGUAACUUGAAUGUCUCCCAUGUUCCUUGUCAUACUCUCACCUCAUCAACAAGCAUGCUGCAUCUAUAAUAAUUAAUCACACCAGUCUAUGAAUCAAUUAACAAAAGUAAAAACUAGACGGUCAGUGAAAAAGUCAAUUGUUGUCCCUCAAGC